AAAUAAUGCUGGGGAGAAGAGAUUGACAGUGAUGCCUAAUGUUGGGAAUUAAGUGUUGGAAGGACUGCCUGUACUAGGCACUCUCAUGAUAAUGAUGCCAGGAAGAUUUAAUUUACCAGUUUGUUCUAGGAAAGGUAAUGACCUUAAUAUCACGGGAAACGUAUCAAGAGGUCAUCCAUGCAGACACACGCUGACUCAUUUUCAUAAUAAAUGGAAAUAGAUGUCCAGCCACACAAAUUUGCUUGCAGGAAAGGAUUUAUGCCAUCUAUCCAGCUCUGUGUUAGUAUCAGAAAAGAUAAAGAACAUUUUAUUGAUAUAUGGGGAUUUAAUUCCAAUGCCUUUGAGAAUCUCUAGGAAAAAAUGCAUUUCCAAUUCAUUUCUGAAGAGAACAAAUAAAAAUCCCCCCCCAAAACCUACCAAAUCAAUAAAGGGAAAAAAUAUCACACUGGAAUAGGGAUGUGCCAUUUCUCCCUAGGUGCUACUCAUUGGUUGCUGGGCCAUAGAUGAAGCACCACAUAAAGCCUCUGUUAGAGAAGAGUGCUUGCACAUGCAUUACCAAGGAUAUGCUCUUCCUGGCUGAGUAAUUCACUUUUGAGCAGCAUAUUUCUGAGAAGGUGAAAAGUGGGUGUCUAAAUGCAACUCCAGCAGCCACUGCAGAAAUGUGACUGUGUAGCCCAAACCCUGGAGGUCUCAGCUGCUGGGGAGAAAUUUCCUUCACAGAUGGGAAUUACAUGUGUUACAUGGCUUUUUCUGUGCUCAUCCACAGGAGGGUUGGCACAGCUACUUUGGCUGGAGAAGACAAGAGCAUGGUCACGAUGCAAGAAAAAACAUGGAAGGGGAACUCUGAUGAACUCCAAAUGGAGUCAUCCAAAAUGCCAUCCAAAUGGCAGAAAGCACAGGAGAUGAGCGCUGCCACGUAAGUGUGCCACCCCUACAACGCACAGUUUAGCUCAUGAUUUCUCAAGCUGGGCUGCAAGUAGUGAGUCACACAGAGAGAGGAGGGUUAUUUCUGGGAAUUUGGUUCUUCAGAGGAAAAACAUGAAACAGUCAGAAAUGACAGAGAAGUGAGAGUACUGGAUGAUGGCAAACAGCAUAUGGGGAGCAGGGGAGAGGAAGAUUUGCCAUCCUUGCUGCAGUAUUACAUCCCAGCCUAAUUCACAUUGAUCUCCAGGGGCCAGCUCAUUUCUGCUGGAAGAAUCUGGCUUCUGGGACUCCAGGUGCUUGCCCUGUUGUCCUCAAGAAGCCUCUGGAGGCUUGAGCAAAGGUUUGGGUGCUGCAGGAGUAAGUCAAAGUUCAGAUCAUUACCUCUAAUUUUCCUGGAAAUACUUCUUCAGAAUUUCUGCUUCAGCUGCCAUUUCUUCUUCUGUCCUCCACUUGUCAGGGGAAUCAUCUUUGUCGUGUCGCUGCAACUUUUUGAGGGAGAAAAGAAUAAAAAUUCAAUUUAUUAUUUUUUCAGUUUGAAUGUCAAAUUUAGGGCAAUCAAUCUAACUAUUCCAAGGGUCUUCAGGAUGGAUGGACCUGGUGAUGAAGAGAGGAAGAGUGAAGGUUGCUAGUUUAGAGUGGUGACAGUGGCUGCAUUUCCAAGGACAGCACCGUGUGCCAGGGAAAAAAUUUUAGUAUAGAAGAUGAAGCAGUGAAAAAACAAAGAUGAAGCCAUCAUGAACCUCCAAGCAAAGUGCAUUACUGUAUAUGGGAUGUUUAGCAAUAAACUAGGAUUGUUAGCAUACCUCCAACUCACAAA
Non-coding RNA from Taeniopygia guttata (zebra finch), 1741 nucleotides. NCBI's taxonomy places the organism in Eukaryota, Metazoa, Chordata, Aves, Passeriformes, Estrildidae. The record is from RefSeq and is a predicted model, not a curated record.